RNAcentral lists this transfer RNA (74 nucleotides) under Fibroporia radiculosa. RNAcentral describes it as "tRNA-Lys (TTT) (tRNA-Lys-TTT-1-1)". It matches the Rfam family "tRNA". From Rfam's summary of the family: Transfer RNA (tRNA) molecules are approximately 80 nucleotides in length. Their secondary structure includes four short double-helical elements and three loops (D, anti-codon, and T loops). RNAcentral also lists the same sequence under 1 other name. Lineage: Eukaryota; Fungi; Basidiomycota; Agaricomycetes; Polyporales; Fibroporiaceae. The record is from RNAcentral.
GCCCGCCUAGCUCAAUCGGAUAGAGCGUCAGACUUUUAAUCUGAAGGCUGCGGGUUCGACCCCCGCGGUGGGCU